RNAcentral lists this unclassified non-coding RNA (657 nucleotides) under Hevea brasiliensis (rubber tree). Lineage: Eukaryota; Viridiplantae; Streptophyta; Magnoliopsida; Malpighiales; Euphorbiaceae. The record is from RNAcentral.
CUAAGACUAAAAACAAAAGAAUAACAAGAUUCAUGUCUCACCUGGUGCUUGCACAAGAAAUAGGUGUCAUAUCAAAUAGUACGAGGUGUUACAGGGUAAAAGGGCAUUACAAUGAUUUUUACAUGCCUCCAAAGAAAUGAAUAUUUGAUUAUCCAGAUGAUUACAUUCAAAGCAAUAAAAAUUAUUUUCUUCCAGAGGAUUUUUAAGCAUCAACUGCAAUUAUACUCAAUAAAUGCUUAGGGAACUACAUGCUCAUUCAACAACUAAGACCAGGAAGCACAAAAUUACAAACGAAUGACUUUCUUUGUACUGCCUAAAAGCAGAUUGAACCAAAUUCAUCCUUCCAUUUAUAUUCUAAUACCAAAGAGAAACAUGGCAAUCAUCCUUCAGUUCAUACCAGAAAAUAUAAAGUGGAUUUAGAGAACAAAACAACAAUUACACCAUAUAACACAAAAUAACUUGAUUGCUGAAUUCAUUUUGCACUGUAACAGAUGCACAAUUAGCUGCAAAUUCCAACCUGGUGUACCACCGAGAAAAAGAAAACCGUAAUUGGACAACAAGGGAGCAACACACAUACCAUGACUGCAACGAACACAAGCACCACACUUCACCUUGCAUACAUUGCACACUAAUUUCCUCCGUGUUUCCUUUAUUUCU